GCUUGACACAUGCAAGUCGAACGGAAAGGCCCUGCUUUUGUGGGGUGCUCGAGUGGCGAACGGGUGAGUAACACGUGAGUAACCUGCCCUUGACUUUGGGAUAACUUCAGGAAACUGGGGCUAAUACCGGAUAGGAGCUCCUGCUGCAUGGUGGGGGUUGGAAAGUUUCGGCGGUUGGGGAUGGACUCGCGGCUUAUCAGCUUGUUGGUGGGGUAGUGGCUUACCAAGGCUUUGACGGGUAGCCGGCCUGAGAGGGUGACCGGCCACAUUGGGACUGAGAUACGGCCCAGACUCCUACGGGAGGCAGCAGUGGGGAAUAUUGCACAAUGGGCGGAAGCCUGAUGCAGCAACGCCGCGUGCGGGAUGACGGCCUUCGGGUUGUAAACCGCUUUCGCCUGUGACGAAGCGUGAGUGACGGUAAUGGGUAAAGAAGCACCGGCUAACUACGUGCCAGCAGCCGCGGUGAUACGUAGGGUGCGAGCGUUGUCCGGAUUUAUUGGGCGUAAAGGGCUCGUAGGUGGUUGAUCGCGUCGGAAGUGUAAUCUUGGGGCUUAACCCUGAGCGUGCUUUCGAUACGGGUUGACUUGAGGAAGGUAGGGGAGAAUGGAAUUCCUGGUGGAGCGGUGGAAUGCGCAGAUAUCAGGAGGAACACCAGUGGCGAAGGCGGUUCUCUGGGCCUUUCCUGACGCUGAGGAGCGAAAGCGUGGGGAGCGAACAGGCUUAGAUACCCUGGUAGUCCACGCUGUAAACGGUGGGUACUAGGUGUGGGGUCCAUUCCACGGGUUCCGUGCCGUAGCUAACGCUUUAAGUACCCCGCCUGGGGAGUACGGCCGCAAGGCUAAAACUCAAAGGAAUUGACGGGGCCCCGCACAAGCGGCGGAGCAUGCGGAUUAAUUCGAUGCAACGCGUAGAACCUUACCUGGGUUUGACAUGGAUCGGGAGUGCUCAGAGAUGGGUGUGCCUCUUUUGGGGUCGGUUCACAGGUGGUGCAUGGCUGUCGUCAGCUCGUGUCGUGAGAUGUUGGGUUAAGUCCCGCAACGAGCGCAACCCUUGUUCACUGUUGCCAGCACGUUAUGGUGGGGACUCAGUGGAGACCGCCGGGGUCAACUCGGAGGAAGGUGGGGAUGACGUCAAGUCAUCAUGCCCCUUAUGUCCAGGGCUUCACGCAUGCUACAAUGGCUGGUACAGAGAGUGGCGAGCCUGUGAGGGUGAGCGAAUCUCGGAAAGCCGGUCUCAGUUCGGAUUGGGGUCUGCAACUCGACCUCAUGAAGUCGGAGUCGCUAGUAAUCGCAGAUCAGCAACGCUGCGGUGAAUACGUUCCCGGGGCUUGUACACACCGCCCGUCAAGUCAUGAAAGUUGGUAACACCCGAAGCCGGUGGCCUAACCGUUGUGGGGGAGCCGUCGAAGGUGGGACUGGUGAUUAGGACUAAGUCAUAAC
This 1439-nucleotide ribosomal RNA is filed under the name uncultured organism. Its description in RNAcentral is "16S ribosomal RNA". It matches the Rfam family "Bacterial small subunit ribosomal RNA". The record is from RNAcentral.